AGGACGAACGCUGGCGGCGUGCCUAACACAUGCAAGUCGAACGAGGUCCAACCGGUGGCAACACUGGUGAAGACCUAGUGGCGAACGGGUGAGUAACACGUUGGUACCUACCCCGAAGUGGGGAAUAACUGCCCGAAAGGGUGGCUAAUACCGCAUAAUACCGCAAGGUUAAAGCAGUAAUGCGCUUCGGGAGGGGCCUGCGUCCCAUUAGCUAGUUGGUAGGGUAAUGGCCUACCAAGGCGACGAUGGGUAGCUGGAUCGAGAGGUUGACCAGCCACACUGGGACUGAGAUACGGCCCAGACUCCUACGGGAGGCAGCAGUAAGGAAUCUUCCACAAUGGACGAAAGUCUGAUGGAGCAACGCCGCGUGCAGGAUGACGGCCUUCGGGUUGUAAACUGCUUUUAUAUGGAAGAUUAUGACGGUACCAUAUAGAAUAAGGACCGGUCUAACUACGUGCCAGCAGCCGC
Molecule: ribosomal RNA, 468 nt
Filed under: uncultured bacterium
Lineage: Bacteria
Description: SSU rRNA
Rfam family: Bacterial small subunit ribosomal RNA
Source: RNAcentral